RNAcentral lists this transfer RNA (76 nucleotides) under SAR116 cluster bacterium. Its description in RNAcentral is "tRNA-Arg". It matches the Rfam family "tRNA". From Rfam's summary of the family: Transfer RNA (tRNA) molecules are approximately 80 nucleotides in length. Their secondary structure includes four short double-helical elements and three loops (D, anti-codon, and T loops). The record is from RNAcentral. Lineage: Bacteria; Pseudomonadati; Pseudomonadota; Alphaproteobacteria; Puniceispirillales (SeqCode).
GGCCCUAUAGUUGAACUGGAUACAACGCAGGAUUCCUAAUCCUGAGCUCGAGGUUCGAGUCCUCGUAGGGUCGCCA